This 763-nucleotide long non-coding RNA is filed under the name Triticum aestivum (bread wheat). RNAcentral describes it as "long non-coding RNA (TAES_LNC014681)". The record is from RNAcentral. Lineage: Eukaryota; Viridiplantae; Streptophyta; Magnoliopsida; Poales; Poaceae.
UGCUAUUCGUCGGUCCUCGAUCCUUCUUCAUUUUUUGUCUGAUUGUUUCCUGUCUGCACCAGACCCACUUGAAAGGAGGAGGCGGAUGAAAGUGCAGCGCCAAUGGAUCUGCCGGCUUUCGGGACGGAUACUUGUAUACAGCCAUGAUAUUCUUCGUUACAGUAGAGGUGUGAGUACACUGAUUUGUACAAAUUAGUCAUGAAAUGGUGAGCAUCAGCCCAUCAGCGACUUACAAGUGUGGAUUACGGGUUAGUGAAGCGUUGGAAAGAAGUAGUUGGGCAAUUUGUGCAGCUAUGCCUUGUUCUAAUUUCACUGUAUGUUAGCAGAACAUAAUUUCUGUGCAGUACAUAAAAAAUGUUUAAUUGUUUGCACUGGUAAUUUGCAGGCCAAGCCGGGAGUGGAGAACACACGUUCAUGUCGUUCGGAGGGCCCUGCUCUGAUUUGGUUGCUAAGAUCAGAGGACAAUGGCUGGUACAUCACAGUACAUAGAGAGAGCCAGUUUAUCCUGCUAUACUAUCUGGGGAUGGCAUUGGCUUCUUUUUGAAAUUAUGUGAUGUUAGUUUCUUCUUCUUCUGGAAAAAUCAUUUUGUUAGACAUUACUAGACAAUUGCCCGUGCGUUGCAACGGGAAUAUGACAAUUUUUUAGAAUAUAUAGAUUGUCUAUUAUUAUAUUGAUGCGCUAAAAUUUAGCAAGUUUUUGUAUGCAAUCGCCAUGAUUUACCUGCCAUUUUAUUGUUAAGCACUUACUUGGUAAGAAUUUAAU